CUUAUCCUUUGUUGCCAGCGGUUAGGCCGGGAACUCAAAGGAGACUGCCAGUGAUAAACUGGAGGAAGGUGGGGAUGACGUCAAGUCAUCAUGGCCCUUACGACCAGGGCUACACACGUGCUACAAUGGCGCAUACAAAGAGAAGCGACCUCGCGAGAGCAAGCGGACCUCAUAAAGUGCGUCGUAGUCCGGAUUGGAGUCUGCAACUCGACUCCAUGAAGUCGGAAUCGCUAGUAAUCGUGGAUCAGAAUGCCACGGUGAAUACGUUCCCGGGCCUUGUACACACCGCCCGUCACACCAUGGGAGUGGGUUGCAAAAGAAGUAGGUAGCUUAACCUUCGGGAGGGCGCUUACCACUUUGUGAUUCAUGACUGGGGUGAAGUCGUAACAAGGUAACCGUAGGGGAACCUGCGGUUGGAUCACCUCCUUACCUUAAAGAA
This 439-nucleotide ribosomal RNA is filed under the name Salmonella enterica subsp. enterica serovar Bareilly. RNAcentral describes it as "bacterial SSU rRNA". It matches the Rfam family "Bacterial small subunit ribosomal RNA", at positions 1104 to 1533 of the family's 1533-position model. Lineage: Bacteria; Pseudomonadati; Pseudomonadota; Gammaproteobacteria; Enterobacterales; Enterobacteriaceae. The record is from RNAcentral.